UAAGGACCAACUGUCAUUUUGAAAACAGCAGCCAUUUUGAAACAGCAGCUCUGAGGCAAUGGUUCCAAUAUGGAGAAGAAUGCUGCAGUAGCGAUUAUAUCUUUCUGAGUACAGAGACCAACUGUACUUUUGAAAAUAUCAGCCAUUUUGAAACAGCCACUCUGAGGCAAUGGCUCCAAUGUGGAGAAGAACAUUUCAGUACCAAUGAUAUUUCUCCCAAUAACGACCAACUGUCAUUUUGAAAACAGCAGUCAUUUUGAAACAGCAGCUCUGAGGCAAUGGCUCCAAUGUGGAGAAGAACACUUCAGUAGCGAUGAUAUUUCUCCCAGUAAGGACCAACUGUAAUUUUGAAAACUGCAGCCAUUUUGAAACAGCAGCUCUGAGGCAAUGGCUCCAAUGUGGAGAAGAACGCUGCAGUGGCGAUUAUAUCUUUCCCAGUACGGACCAACUGUCAUUUUGAAAACAAUAGCCAUUUUGAAACAGUACUUCUGAGGCAAUGGGUCCAAUGUGGAGAAGAACAUUGCAGUAGCGAUGAUAUGUUUCCCAUUAAGCUGCAACUGUCAUUUGGAAAAUGGCAACCAUUUUGAAACAGCCGCUCUGAGGCAAUGGCUCCAAUGUAGAGAAGAACAUUGCAGUAGCAACGAUAUCUCUUCUGGGUUUUGUAGGUGGUCAGAAAACAGCAAGCAAAUGGACUACAGGUAAAGAAAAGGAAGACUACAGUAAGGGAGAGCUGUGUCCCGAAACCCCAGCAUAUCCCAAUAAGCCCCAUUGGUUCCAAUUUGGAGUACUGGUUAAAAGUGCUGGAAGGGAAGACCUGACUUGAUUCACAGCUAUAACCCUGUUGUGCGAAUUGGAAGCCUGGAUUGCAAAACCCUGCUCAUUCAUGGCAUAACACUGGACAAGUCACACACUCUCAGCCGCAGAAGAAGGCAAGGGCAGACCUCCUUUGAAGCAAUCUGUCCCUGGAAGCCCAAGAUCAGACUGGUAUAUGUCAUUAAAGGACUUGGAAGUCCAAGGCAAAGCAAGGCAAGUGCGGCAAGACUAAUUUUUGCCAAAGUUUGGAAACAAAAGACAAUACCAACCACUGAUGAAUGGAUUCUGAAACUGCUAGACUUAAUACAAAUGGAUUGAUUGACACAACAACUAAGAGACGGAAAAAAGAAAAUAGACUGGUCAGGCUUUAAAGACUUUAUUCAGAACAGAGGAACAAUAUUCACAAUAGAUCUAUCCGACGUAUGAAAGUAAAAAUGAUGAAGGCAAACUAGAAAACAUAACAGAAGACAAAUUUUAUUUGAAUAUUAUUAUCCUUAGGAGGACAAUGGGAAGUCACUCAACAACUUGUGUUUUUUCUUCUCCCCCCCCCCUCUCUCUCUUGGCUUUCUCUCUCAUUUUUCACCCCCCUCUCUCUCACUACCUUUAAGAUGUCUUCUUCACUUUCGCUGUAAAUAUCACUUACAACACAAUAAAAACUAUUAUAAAAAAAAUUAAGCCAGGGGCGGGGCCAAGCCGAUGGCUACGUAACAUUUAAAGACAGAUUAAAGAAAUCGAAAGCAUUCAGAAGGGAAAGAUAAAGAAACAGCUGAUCUAAUGAGUCAAAAAAACCUGUGAAUGACGUAAGCUGGGAAGAUUUAUGGAAAAAAGGAGAAAAGGAGGAUUGGUCGGAGGGAAUGAGACAAGAUAACAGCCGCCAUUAAUUAACUACGCAGUCAAAUGUACCAACUUUAAAAGUGGAGAAAGAAAGGAGGAGAGAGAGGAGGUUGCAAGAUUGAGUAUUAAAACAAUUGUAAACCAAUUAUAAGUAAUUGGAGAAGGUACAUUUAAAGUAGGAGUUGGCGGCGAAAGUUUUCUGGAAGAGAGAAGGUAAGCUGUCUGCAGUUUGUAUAUAUGUAUGAAUAAGAAACAGAAAGCGCAGCAGCAAGAGUUUUUCUUGAAAUCGGAUAAUAAUAAUAAUAAUAAUAAUAAUAAUAAUAAUAAUAAUAAUAAUACUUUAUUUUUCUAUCCUGCCACCAUCUCCCUGAAGGGACUCGGGGCAGCUAACAUGGGGCAAUGCCCAAAACAAAACAGAGUAGAACAAUAAAACGAAUAUCAAAAUAAAAACAAUAAUAACUUCAAUAAAAUUAAUAAACAAUUUAAACAUUUUUUAAAAUACAUUAAAACACAUAAAAUCAGAACAAACAAAUAAUAAUAAUAGAAUAUCAAUCACUAGAGAUGAAAGGAGUCAGGCAUAUAAAACACAAUAUCGCAAGGCUUUUAAUAAAGCACAUAAACAAGUAUCAGAGAGUCAACUGGGAUAAUAUGGGAUAAGGUAGGGUAGGAAGGAAUAAAGUGCUAAGAAGUAAUGUCUCAGUAAAAGGGUCUAUCAUGUGGGUGAAUUAUUCAAACGCACACUGAAAUAGCCUUGCAGCUUCAAAACCUGGCUGCUUCUUGCCUGGGGGAAUUCUUUGUUGGGAGGUGUUAGUUGGCCAACAUGUCAGACUACACAGAGAAGCCAUUGAAAUCAAGCAUGUGGAUAAUUUCAACAGAAAAGAGGAAACCAUGAAAAUAAACAAAAUCUGCAUCUGUCGAGUAGGAAAAUUAGGUACCGCUUUAUGCGGGGAGGCUAAUUUAACUAAUCUACGAUUGCAUUCAAAGCACCCCGACAGAUGGCCAUCAACCCUUAUAGGGGUCUACAACAUGAAUGGACCAACUUUGGCCCUCCAGGUGUUUUGGACUUCAACUCCCAAAAGGGCUGUUAGGAAUUGUGGAAGUUGGAGUCCAAAACUCCUGGAGGACUGAAGUUUGCCCAUACCUGGUGGAUGGUGCUCCUAGAAAGAAGCGAGGGCCCAGUUUUCUCCAUCUUCCUCCAUCAACCCCAUCCCUCUGACCCCAGAGCUCAGCCAUUAUCUUGUGCUGGAUCCCAAGAGGAUGCUGGGCAGAGACAAGGAAGAGGGUGGCCCUGGUUCCGCUACAGAACUUGCCUCGCUCCAGUUCCCGGCUUCCCAGCUGGCGUUGAAGGCACCUGCCAUGGCAGAAGGCGGUUCCACUGAAGAUGCCACUGGCUUUGCCGGCGUGAGGUUGGGUGCUCUUUCGUUCCUGCCCCCGAGGGAUUCUUUCCCACCAGGGAAAGAGAGGCUCUUGUUUUCCAAGCCCAUCUGCAUCUCACUGGGUUCCUUCUGUCUCGGUGCAGCUGACCUGGAAAGCAGAGGGCCGGGCGAAGGUCAUGUGGUCGGCAUGACUGCAUGGAGCGCUGUUACCUUCCUGCCGGAGUGGUACCUAUUGACUGCAGUUGGCGUGGCGGCCAAAGGGUGAGGUAAUCCGGCAGUAGGCUACCACAGGUGGCAUGACGAAGCGCAGGUGGAGUUGCGAGGUCAGCCGGCAGUGGGCGACUGCAGAUGGCAUGGCAGCCAAAGGGUGAGGUAGGCUGGCAGUAGGCUACCACAGCUGGCAUGACGAGGCACAGGUGGAGUGGCGAGGUCAGCCAGCAGUGGGCCACUGCAGAUGGCAUGGCAGCCAAAGGGUGAGGUAGGCUGGCAGUAGGCUACCACAGCUGGCAUGACGAGGCACAGGUGGAGUGGUGAGGUCAGCCAGCAGUGGGCCACUGCAGAUGGCAUGGCAGCCAAAGGGUGAGGUAGGCUGGCAGUAGGCUACCACAGCUGGCAUGACGAGGCACAGGUGGAGUGGCGAGGUCAGCCAGCAGUGGGCCACUGCAGAUGGCGUGGCAGCCAAAGGGUGAUGUAGGCUGGCAGUAGGCUACCACAGCUGGCAUGAUGAGGCGCAGGUGGAGUUGCGAGGUCAGCCAGCAGUGGGCCACUGCAGAUGGCGUGGCAGCCAAAGGGUGAGCUAGGCUGGCAUUAGGCUACCACAGCUGGCAUGACGAGGUGCAGGUGGAGUUGCGAGGUCAGCCAGCAGUGGGCGAUUGCAGAUGGCGUGGCAGCCAAAGGGUGAGCUAGGCUGGCAGUAGGCUACCACAGGUGGCAUGACGAGGCGCAGGUGGAGUGGCGAGGUAACCCAGCAGUGGGCCACUGCAGAUGGCGUGGCAGCCAAAGUGUGAGAUAGGCUGGCAGUAGGCUACCACAGGUGGCAUGACGAGGCGCAGGUGGAGUGGCGAGGUCACCCAGCAGUGGGCCACUGCAGAUGGCGUGGCAGCCAAAGUGUGAGAUAGGCUGGCAGUAGGCUACCACAGCUGGCAUGACGAGGCACAGGUGGAGUUGUGAGGUCAGCCAGCAGUGGACCACUGCAGAUGGCGUGGCAGCCAAAGGGUGAUGUAGGCUGGCAGUAGGCUACCACAGCUGGCAUGACGAGGCACAGGUGGAGUUGCGAGGUCAGCCAGCAGUGGGCCACUGCAGAUGGCGUGGCAGCCAAAGGGUGAUGUAGGCCGGCAGUAGGCUACCAAGGCUGGCAUGAUGAGGCGCAGGUGGAGUUGCGAGGUCAGCCAGCAGUGGGCCACUGCAGAUGGCGUGGCAGCCAAAGGGUGAUGUAGGCUGGCAGUAGGCUACCACAGCUGGCAUGAUGAGGCGCAGGUGGAGUUGCGAGGUCAGCCAGCAGUGGGCCACUGCAGAUGGCGUGGCAGCCAAAGGGUGAGCUAGGCUGGCAGUAGGCUACCACAGCUGGCAUGACGAGGCACAGGUGGAGUUGCGAGGUCAGCCGGCAGUGGGCCACUGCAGAUGGCGUGGCAGCCAAAGGGUGAGGUAGGCUGGCAGUAGGCUACCACAGCUGGCAUGAUGAGGCGCAGGUGGAGUUGCGAGGUCAGCCAGCAGUGGGUCACUGCAGAUGGCGUGGCAGCCAAAGGGUGAUGUAGGCUGGCAGUAGGCUACCACAGCUGGCAUGAUGAGGCGCAGGUGGAGUUGCGAGGUCAGCCAGCAGUGGGCCACUGCAGAUGGCGUGGCAGCCAAAGGGUGAUGUAGGCCGGCAGUAGGCUACCAAGGCUGGCAUGAUGAGGCGCAGGUGGAGUUGCGAGGUCAGCCAGCAGUGGGCCACUGCAGAUGGCGUGGCAGCCAAAGGGUGAUGUAGGCUGGCAGUAGGCUACCACAGCUGGCAUGAUGAGGCGCAGGUGGAGUUGCGAGGUCAGCCAGCAGUGGGCCACUGCAGAUGGCGUGGCAGCCAAAGGGUGAGCUAGGCUGGCAGUAGGCUACCACAGCUGGCAUGACAAGGCGCAAGUGGAGUUGCGAGGUCAGCCGGCAGUGGGCGACUGCAGAUGGCGUGGCAGCCAAAGGGUGAGGUAGGCUGGCAGUAGGCUACCACAGGUGGCAUGACGAGGCGCAGGUGGAGUGGCGAGGUCAGCCAGCAGUGGGCCACUGCAGAUGGCAUGGCAGCCAAAGUGUGAGAUAGGCUGGCAGUAGGCUACCACAGCUGGCAUGACGAGGCGCAGGUGGAGUUGAGAGGUCAGCCAGCAGUGGGCCACUGCAGAUGGCGUGGCAGCCAAAGGGUGAGCUAGGCUGGCAGUAGGCUACCACAGCUGGCAUGACGAGGUGCAGGUGGAGUUGCGAGGUCAGCCAGCAGUGGGCGACUGCAGAUGGCGUGGCAGCCAAAGGGUGAGGUAGGCUGGCAGUAGGCUACCACAGGUGGCAUGACGAGGCGCAGGUGGAGUGGCGAGGUCAGCCAGCAGUGGGCCACUGCAGAUGGCGUGGCAGCCAAAGUGUGAGAUAGGCUGGCAGUAGGCUACCACAGCUGGCAUGACGAGGCACAGGUGGAGUUGCGAGGUCAGCCAGCAGUGGGCCACUGCAGAUGGUGUGGCAGCCAAAGGGUUAGGUAGGCUGGCAGUAGGCUACCACAGCUGGCAUGACGAGGCACAGGUGGAGUUGCGAGGUCAGCCAGCAGUGGGCCACUGCAGAUGGCAUGGCAGCCAAAGGGUGAUGUAGGCUGGCAGUAGGCUACCAAGGCUGGCAUGACGAGGCGCAGGUGGAGUUGCGAGGUCAGCCAGCAGUGGGCCACUGCAGAUGGCGUAGCAGCCAAAGGGUGAUGUAGGCUGGCAGUAGGCUACCACAGCUGGCAUGACGAGGUGCAGGUGGAGUUGCGAGGUCAGCCGGCAGUGGGCGACUGCAGAUGGCGUGGCAGCCAAAGGGUGAGGUAGGCUGGCAGUAGGCUACCACAGGUGGCAUGACGAGGCGCAGGUGGAGUGGCGAGGUCAGCCAGCAGUGGGCCACUGCAGAUGGCGUGGCAGCCAAAGUGUGAGAUAGGCUGGCAGUAGGCUACCACAGCUGGCAUGACGAGGCACAGGUGGAGUUGCGAGGUCAGCCAGCAGUGGGCCACUGCAGAUGGUGUGGCAGCCAAAGGGUUAGGUAGGCUGGCAGUAGGCUACCACAGCUGGCAUGACAAGGCACAGGUGAAGUUGCGAGGUCAGCCAGCAGUGGGCCACUGCAGAUGGCGUGGCAGCCAAAGGGUGAUGUAGGCUGGCAGUACGCUACCACAGCUGGCAUGAUGAGGCACAGGUGAAGUUGCGAGGUCAGCCAGCAGCGGGCCACUGCAGAUGGCGUGGCAGCCAAAGGGUGAUGUAGGCUGGCAGUAGGCUACCACAGCUGGCAUGACGAGGCGAAGGUGGAGUUGCGUGGUCAGCCAGCAGUGGGCCACUGCAGAUGGCGUGGCAGCCAAAGGGUGAUGUAGGCUGGCAGUAGGCUACCACAGCUGGCAUGACGAGGCACAGGUGAAGUUGCGAGGUCAGCCAGCAGUGGGCCACUGCAGGUGGCGUGGCAGCCAAAGGGUGAUGUAGGCUGGCAGUAGGCUACCACAGCUGGCAUGACGAGGCACAGGUGAAGUUGCGAGGUCAGCCAGCAGUGGGCCACUGCAGAUGGCGUGGCAGCCAAAGGGUGAUGUAGGCUGGCAGUAGGCUACCACAGCUGGCAUGACGAGGCACAGGUGAAGUUGCGAGGUCAGCCAGCAGUGGGCCACUGCAGAUGGCGUGGCAGCCAAAGGGUGAUGUAGGCUGGCAGUACGCUACCACAGCUGGCAUGACGAGGCACAGGUGAAGUUGCGAGGUCAGCCAGCAGUGGGCCACUGCAGAUGGCGUGGCAGCCAAAGGGUGAGGUAGGCUGGCAGUAGGCUACCACAGCUGGCAUGACGAGGUGCAGGUGGAGUUGCGAGGUCAGCCAGCAGUGGGCCACUGCAGAUGGCGUGGCAGCCAAAGGGUGAUGUAGGCUGGCAGUAGGCUACCACAGCUGGCAUGACGAGGCACAGGUGAAGUUGCGAGGUCAGCCAGCAGUGGGCCACUGCAGAUGGCGUGGCAGCCAAAGGGUGAUGUAGGCUGGCAGUAGGCUACCCCAGCUGGCGUGACUGAGGUGCAGGUGCAGUGUCGGGUUAAGCCGCGAUUGUUAGCCACCUUGAUUCCCUACAGGGAGAGAGGCAUGAUAAAAAUAUCAUCAUCAUCAUCAUCAUCAUCAUCAUCAGAUAUGUAAAGCUUUCCCCCUGAAAUUCAGUCCAGACGUAUUUGACUCUGGGGGUUGGUGCUCAUCUCCAUUUCUAAGCCGAAGAGCCGGCUUUGUCUUUAGACACCUCCAAGGUCAUGUGGCCGGCAUGACUGCAUGGAGCGCUGUUACCUUCCCGCCAGAGUGGUACCUAUUGAUCUACUCACAUUGGCAUGUUUUUGAACUGCUAGGUUGACAGAAGCUAGGGCUAACAACAGGCAAUCACUCCAGCAGCUCAGCACUUUAACACGCUGCACCACUGGGGCCUCCGUAAGGGAGACUCUGGCAGAAACCAGUGCAGGUGGGUCCCGGUGGUGGUGGGCACAUUGGGUGCCAUGCCAAAAGAGCUCAGCCGGCAUUUGGAAACAAUAGGCAUUGACAAAAUUACCAUCUGCCAACUGCAAAAGGCCACCUGAAAAUCAUCUGAAAAUACAUCACACAGUCCUAGACACUUGGGAAGAGUUCAACUUAUGAUUUUGUUAUAUGAAAUCCAGCAUAUCUAUCUU
Anolis carolinensis (green anole) is the source of this 7882-nucleotide long non-coding RNA. RefSeq lists it as uncharacterized. The transcript has 5 exons. The record is from RefSeq and is a predicted model, not a curated record. NCBI's taxonomy places the organism in Eukaryota, Metazoa, Chordata, Lepidosauria, Squamata, Anolidae.